AGAGCAGGCUGGCUAAGACUGCAGAGUGCAGGUGAAUCACCUGUGGGUCUCAUCCGAAUGCAGAUUUAACGGAGUGGGUUUGACGUAGAACCCAGAUUUUCUAUUUCUCACAAACUCCCAGCGAUGCUAAAACGUCCACAGGUCACACCUGGAGAUGCAGGGAUCUGGGUUGAAGACGCUAACACAUCUGAGCCACUCUUGGGAAAAACAGCAAGUCCACUCAACUGGUGCUUUCUUAAAAGCUUGAGAUGGAAAAUAGGCAUGUGACCUUGAAUGAAAUAUUACUAUAAAGACAUGUUCAUAGAAGGAACCCUGAGAUGAAAGUUGAAAGGUCUUGUAAACUUACCUGUAUGACACAGCCCACCCCUGCUUCACUUUGCUUCACUUUCCUCCAUCCUGAGUUGAAAGUAACAAAUCACCUCAAGCUGAUUAAUGCACGUGCUGUUGUUUGGCAUCAAGCUGAUUAAUGUCCAUGCUAUUGUUUGGAACGAAGCCUUAUGGAAAACCCAGGUUCUAACCCAUGCUGUUUUUCUUGUCUUUUUCUCUAUAGGAGAUGUCAGUGAAAAAGGGGGCGCAGAAUGAUUACUAACCCAUGACUCCCAACAGUAUGACAGUUCCCAGCUCUCGCUCCCUUAAUGGACUGAGAACCGCUGCCAGAGAAACGAGAGAAAAACCUGAGAUAGCAAACCUGAAUUCACCUGCACGCGCGGGCAGAGAGGCUGGGCUCAACAAGAGGGAAAAUUAAUAGGCGGGUGCUCGGGAAAAGGAGGCCAAAACCACAGCGAUGGAAAGCAGCCUAUCUGAACACGGAGGCUGAUUUUGCAAGACUUGGCCCACAGGACGACAUUUCUGAGGACGCGUUUCAAAUAACUGGAGGAUGGCAGAGCAGGGUCCUUCGGCGAUCUUGUUUAUAAAGUUUCCAGGAGUAAGCCCUAAUGGGAAAGUUUGAGCACAAUUUCCCCCAUCUCAAUAUUUCAUUCAUUCAUUCAUUCUGUAUGUAUAUCAAUUCAAUCUAAUAAAAGGUUUUCUCUCUAAAUUUUCAAAUAAAAUGUUACUAUUUGUUUCUCACACUGUGAGAGGCAGAUGCUAGGGCCCUCCCAGUGCCCAGUUUCUUUGGAGACCUCUGCUCAGAUCUUGAAAUAACCAUAGAUACAUGUUGUUGUUCGGUUGCUCAGUCAUGUCCAACUCUUUGUGACCCAAUGGACUGCAGCACGCCAGGCCU
Molecule: long non-coding RNA, 1222 nt
Filed under: Capra hircus (goat)
Lineage: Eukaryota; Metazoa; Chordata; Mammalia; Artiodactyla; Bovidae
Description: lncRNA (ENSCHIG00010028135.1)
Source: RNAcentral